Molecule: ribosomal RNA, 533 nt
Filed under: Escherichia coli
Lineage: Bacteria; Pseudomonadati; Pseudomonadota; Gammaproteobacteria; Enterobacterales; Enterobacteriaceae
Description: partial 23S ribosomal RNA
Rfam family: Bacterial large subunit ribosomal RNA
Source: RNAcentral
UUAGUGGAAGCGUCUGGAAAGGCGCGCGAUACAGGGUGACAGCCCCGUACACAAAAAUGCACAUGCUGUGAGCUCGAUGAGUAGGGCGGGACACGUGGUAUCCUGUCUGAAUAUGGGGGGACCAUCCUCCAAGGCUAAAUACUCCUGACUGACCGAUAGUGAACCAGUACCGUGAGGGAAAGGCGAAAAGAACCCCGGCGAGGGGAGUGAAAAAGAACCUGAAACCGUGUACGUACAAGCAGUGGGAGCACGCUUAGGCGUGUGACUGCGUACCUUUUGUAUAAUGGGUCAGCGACUUAUAUUCUGUAGCAAGGUUAACCGAAUAGGGGAGCCGAAGGGAAACCGAGUCUUAACUGGGCGUUAAGUUGCAGGGUAUAGACCCGAAACCCGGUGAUCUAGCCAUGGGCAGGUUGAAGGUUGGGUAACACUAACUGGAGGACCGAACCGACUAAUGUUGAAAAAUUAGCGGAUGACUUGUGGCUGGGGGUGAAAGGCCAAUCAAACCGGGAGAUAGCUGGUUCUCCCCGAAAGCU